AAAAACAACUGAAUCCAAACUAAAACAGAAGCCCAUUUCUAAUUAAUUGCCUUUAAAGCAAUUAGGAACUAUUUGGUUUUUUUUCUUUCUUUCUUUCUUUUUUUUUCUUUUUAGCCCACACGAAACCCUUAAAAAGGAUCUUCCAAGGAUUCAAAGAACAUUUGUUGGGUCUUAAUGUUCCCCAGACACGAAGUGACAUCUGCCUCCCUCCCCUGCACGCCUGCUGCUCUUUGUUCAGACGAGCACCGAGGGGAGAGCACAUUGAAGGCAAAGAUGAUGUCACCAUUGUGAUCAUUACUGUGGUGCCCUAUUUUUGACCAGGCGUCACUGAGGGCAGCCAGGCAAGAAUGCCUGCCUGCGUACUGCCAGGAGGAACACAGGCCUGCCAGAGUUAAUUAACGCAGGGCCUGCUCACGUCGCUCUUAAAACGGUCUUAAGACCACCCCGCAUGCAAACACACCUACAUGGCUACGGUAGCCAUACAUGCAAGUCCUAGUCCGUUUGAGCAGCUAUCCUCCUGGAGGAGGGGGUUAGAUGAAAAGAGUUUGCAGGUUGUCGCUCGUGCGCCGUGUGUGUCUCUCUGCUUCAGUGAUCAGUGUUUUUCAUAUCGAAACUUGCAGACACACUCAUUUGGAAAACCGGACUGACAGAUGUUGCCACCUUCUUCAGACUUGACAAGGUGUGUGCUGUCGCGUCAGAGCCCGAACCUGAAGCACUCAUUUUAAUUGUGAAAGAGGUAGUGGAAGCUUUCCCAUGACCCUGUAGGUUAAAAGGGAAGUGACGCGGGUUCUCUCUGGUUGUGGUUCCUCUCGCCAAGCACGCCGAGAGAUAUUCUUAAGGUGUCUUCGUGUUCAACGGGUCAGAACCUAAGAAAAGCGAACAGAGAGGAAGUGCAGCGCUUGAGUUGACCGUGUUGUGCUCUUUUUCAUUUCAAGUCCUUAAAUUGAGAUUUUUAUCAACGAAAGAGGGGCGGAUCGUUCACUAGUCCCUGCUGCAGCAAAGUACCCACACAACUUGAUGCGGCCACUCCUUAGUACUUCGGAGCUGAGAUGAUGUUCUCAGGUGUGCAAGAUUCCUCCUUUGUCCUCUAAAUGUAACAGUGAGCAUUAUGGACUUUAAUGUCUUCAGGAAACGUCUCCGAAAUUUUAAGACAACUGUCAUUGCAGUUGUAAUCUCUAAAAUGUCUUUGUUUGUUUGAUUUUAUUUCAUUUUUAUAGACAUGGCUGUAAAUUCUUGAUGAAUACUCUGUUCUUUUCUGUACGGGACAUUGUGGUUUUGCAAAGUGACCAAAGCAUUUAAAAAUGAAAACAAGGCAUUUCACGACCUUCAAGUCUAAUAAAAACCCCAUAAGCCUCAGUCCCACACAA
Poecilia latipinna (sailfin molly) is the source of this 1367-nucleotide long non-coding RNA. RefSeq lists it as uncharacterized. NCBI's taxonomy places the organism in Eukaryota, Metazoa, Chordata, Actinopteri, Cyprinodontiformes, Poeciliidae. The record is from RefSeq and is a predicted model, not a curated record. The transcript is spliced from 2 exons.